This 253-nucleotide ribosomal RNA is filed under the name uncultured bacterium. RNAcentral's name for it is "partial 16S ribosomal RNA". It matches the Rfam family "Bacterial small subunit ribosomal RNA", at positions 524 to 776 of the family's 1533-position model. The record is from RNAcentral.
UACGAAGGGGACUAGCGUUGUUCGGAUUUACUGGGCGUAAAGCGCGCGUAGGCGGAUCGCUAAGUCAGGGGUGAGAUCCCAGGGCUCAACCCUGGAACUGCCUUUGAUACUGACGAUCUGGAGAUCGGGAGAGGUUGGUGGAAUUCCGAGUGUAGAGGUGAAAUUCGUAGAUAUUCGGAGGAACACCAGAAGCGAAGGCGGCCAACUGGCCCGAUACUGACGCUGAGGCGCGAAAGCGUGGGGAGCAAACAGG